UAAAACGACCGCCUGUUUAUCAAAAACAUGGUAUUUUGUUUUUAUUUAAUAUCAAGCCUGCCCACUGAUGUAUUAAAGGGCCGCGGUAUACUGACCGUGCAAAGGUAGCAUAAUCAUUAGUUUUUUAAUUGAAAUCUGGAAUGAAGGGUUUAACGGAAUAUUAACUGUCUCAAAUUAAUAUAUUGAAUUUAACUUUUUAGUUAAAAGGCUUAAAUAAUAGUAAAGGACGAGAAGACCCUAUAGAUCUUUAUAAUAAUUUUUUUAUUAGUUGUUUGGAUUAUAUUUGAUUAUUAUAUAAAUUAAUUGUUUUACUGGGGCGGUAUAAAGAAAAUUUUAACUCUUUAUUAAGUAUAUAUUGAUUGUUAGAUAAUUGAAUCAUUAUUAAUGAUUUUAGAUAAAGUUACCUUAGGGAUAACAGCGUUAUUUAUUUGGAGAGUUCAUAUUGAUAAAUAAGUUUGCGACCUCGAUGUUGAAUUAAGAAUUCAAUAGGAUGAAGAAGUUCUAUAUGAAAGUCUGUUCGAC
Molecule: ribosomal RNA, 522 nt
Filed under: Myrmecophilus balcanicus
Lineage: Eukaryota; Metazoa; Arthropoda; Insecta; Orthoptera; Myrmecophilidae
Description: partial large subunit ribosomal RNA
Rfam family: Bacterial large subunit ribosomal RNA
Source: RNAcentral